GAGACAGCAGUAGCCGCGGGAAUACGAAGGGUGCAAGCGUUAAUCGGAAUUACUGGGCGUAAAGGGUGCGUAGGCGGUUGUUUAAGUCUGUUGUGAAAUCCCCGGGCUCAACCUGGGAAUGGCAAUGGAAACUGGACGGCUAGAGUGUGGUAGAGGAUAGUGGAAUUUCCGGUGUAGCAGUGAAAUGCGUAGAGAUCGGAAGGAACAUCUGUGGCGAAGGCGACUAUCUGGGCCAACACUGACACUGAGGCACGAAAGCGUGGGGAGCAAACAGGAUUAGAUACCCCAGUAGUCCCUGUCUCUUAUAC
This 308-nucleotide ribosomal RNA is filed under the name uncultured bacterium. Its description in RNAcentral is "partial 16S ribosomal RNA". It matches the Rfam family "Bacterial small subunit ribosomal RNA", at positions 505 to 807 of the family's 1533-position model. The record is from RNAcentral.